CCUACGGGGGGCUGCAGUGGGGAAUAUUGGACAAUGGGGGAAACCCUGAUCCAGCAAUGCCGCGUGUGUGAAGAAGGCCUGCGGGUUGUAAAGCACUUUCGGUUGGGAAGAAAAGUUUGGCGCCAAUACCGCCGAACCUUGACGUUACUGACAGAAGAAGCACCGGCUAACUCUGUGCCAGCAGCCGCGGUAAUACAGAGGGUGCAAGGGGGCAUAGGAAUUGCGGGGCGUGUCGUGCGAGUAGGGUGUGAAAUCCCCGGGCUUAACCUGGGAACUGCAUUCGAUACUACAUGGCUAGAGUAUGGUAGAGGGAAGUGGAAUUUCCGGUGUAGCGGUGAAAUGCGUAGAUAUCGGAAGGAACACCAAUGGCGAAGGCAGCUUCCUGGACUAAUACUGACACUGAGGCACGAAAGCGUGGGUAGCAAACAGGAUUAGAUACCCGUGUAGUC
Molecule: ribosomal RNA, 449 nt
Filed under: uncultured bacterium
Lineage: Bacteria
Description: partial 16S ribosomal RNA
Rfam family: Bacterial small subunit ribosomal RNA
Source: RNAcentral